This is a long non-coding RNA of Lolium rigidum, 2916 nucleotides long. RefSeq lists it as uncharacterized. The record is from RefSeq and is a predicted model, not a curated record. Lineage: Eukaryota; Viridiplantae; Streptophyta; Magnoliopsida; Poales; Poaceae. The transcript has 11 exons.
UCCAACUUUCGUCUUCCUCGAGCAGAGACGCCGAGGUAACGCCGCCGCCUCGCAGCACAAUACCCUGCCCGCCGCCGCGUCGCACCGCCGUUUCGUGCACCAUGGAAGGAUUGGGUUGAGCAGCUCCGUCCAAGUUCCAACCGAGGACCAAAGGUAGCAGCUCCGUCCAAGUUCCAACCGAUCUGGCCGGUCGCUGCUUCGUUCGCCCCUCCUUCCUCAGAUUGGUUCUAGCCGUGUAUCUCUGUCCGGCCGACGGGCUCUUUCUGCCGAGUUCAUGUGUUUGUUAAUAUGCCUGUGAGGUGACGAUCCUGUUAUAGACGCUUAGUCUGUGUUUCUGUUCGUUUGCUUCGCUUACUUUUUAAUGGACGCGUCGUCUUCUGGCUCGUCACGUUCCCGGAGCGCUGCACGCCACCGCGAGCGAGUUUCAGCUCGUGUCGCCUUGUUCCGUGCUGCCUUUGAUCCUCGAUAUAAGCCAUCUCCUGGGGAAAUUGUGGACAGAUCACGGUUUGUUGGCCCUGGCUUUUUCCCUGUUGUCUCGCGUGAAUAUGGCCGAAUCUGCCGUCGCCAACAGUUUAAGCGACUGAGGUGGCUUAGGUGGGCAAAAGCAGAUUGCAGGUACACGAAUAAAGGUCCAUUGGAAAAUAUUUGUUUCUUCUAUUUGUAUAUAGAUAUAAAGUGAAGAAUCCAUAUAUUGUGAAGAACAUUGGGUUUAUUGGAUUACUGUUCUUUCGAUACUAAAUGGCUCCUGCCGAAGGAAAGUACUGAUGAGUCUACUACCUAAAUUUAUCAAGUAUACUGCUUCUACGCCUGCGGUAUUUUAUCUAUGAAGUCAGUUACUCGGCGUUGCUUCAGGAGAUCAUUAGUCUGUGGGAUAUCAAUUGAACGUAAACUUGCUAUUGCUUCCUACAAUGCUGCCCACUUCGUCACACUUCGUAUCACAGGAGUUCUUUUCUCUGGUUUGGUUGUCAAAGUUUAUUCCAGAGCCAACCUUUGUGCCAGCCACUUAUCCAAGCAAGAAAAAAGUUGGAAUGAACAAUCUACAGGGGCAAGUACAACAUCAUAUUAAUCUGUUUUCUUACUGGAGGACGGCUGAGUACAAUUUAGUUCUUUUUUUGUGGAAAACAGACUGAUGAUGAUGGUUAGGGUAAAGAUAAGAUGCAAAAGAAUCGCCGGUGACAUUAUUGUUUGAACAAUUUCAUGCCACACGAGGUUCGUUGAUAAAAUUAUGUGAAGUUUUCCUUGAAUCUACAAUCAUUCGACUUCAUACUGAGCUGCAGGAAUGAGCUUGCACAAUUUUCCCGAACGAAUGGCAAUAUUUCUUUGGUCUGUGAAGGUAAUACCUUUGUGUAUUUAUGUUAAUAUAUUGGCAUAAUUGAUGUUCUAAAGAGGGGUUAGGAUUUAGGAAUGCAGGUUGCAUUUGUUCUAAUAGAGGGCCUAGCUUGACUGUUGCAAUUUUCGAAGAGCUAAUUUACCAUGUCUUCUUAUUUAUCUUGCUCUAAUUAUAUUGGUAUAAUGUAAAGUACAUGGCGUUCCCGUGGGAAUUAACUUGCCUUUUUCUAUCGCCUUACAUAACAUACCUGAAGUAAAGAAAUCAAGCCAUUAGCCUUCUGGUUAAGUAACCUGACUAUUCUUAUCUGAAGGUGCGUGUUCCAUCCUUGCCACUUUGAAUAUCCUUUGCAUGUUUUUUCCAAUAACAUUCAGCUGCCUUUAUUGUUUUGCUGUAAUAAUGCACCAAGGAAUAUGGGCCAUGAUUAUCUGUGCAGAGGUUAUAUGCCAUUAAAUUUUGAGUUCUUUUAUAUUCUCUAUUGCAAGCCAUCCAAGUUAUAUCGUUGCGAGUGCUCGUAGGUCGCCCCAUUAUAAUGUAAUAGUGUUCCAUUUGAUCAGUCUAUUUUCAGUUUGGUGAUGAGCGAGUGUAAUAGAAUUAGGUGGCAUUAAACGUAUUAGUACAGAGUAGACCAAUUUGCAAAUUGUGUUUGCGAGAUUUAUUGCUUUGAAUAAAAUUUACAGCCGAAAAAAUUAAAUAAUAUUUUGUGUGGAGAGGAUGAGUUAGGAAGCUAUGGUUGUAAAAACACAUAUCUGAGACUACGGUAGUCUAAAAUAAAUAUUGAGGAUUUUGUGUUUUUACUAUCCUAUUCUUCUCUUAUCCACAUCUCUUAGCCAACAGCUCAUCCAGCUCAUCCACCGACCCGUGAAUCUCCUCCAUCGUUGCCCCGAACUCCUUUGCUUGACGUCUGACCUUGUCGUUUUCUUCAUGCAGGCUCUCCAUUGUCCGUGGGUUAUUUCUACAGCACAAGCCCAUCUUGGCAUGACAGGGAGGGGUCUAGAUAGAAGAAGGAAAGGCAUGAGUAUGAUGAGAGGAGGAGGUCGCACCACAUGUCAGCGCUGAAGAAGUUGACUUUGUUACUUUGUGGGAUCCUGCGGCAAACCAAUCCAUGUAAGCAGAAGAGGUGAAAGCCUACUAGGAGCUUGACUUGUGUGGAAUAGUUGAUAGAUAUCUGAAACCAAGCUGAAUGAGAGCAAAGGUAAGCAGAUUUGCAUGAAAGAUGCGUGAACCAGAAAAUGCAAGAAGCAGAACUCAUCUAUUUAGCUUAAAUGUGAUGGCUAUCUAGGUGAAUCACUUUGUGCCUAUGUGCAGAUUAGUUCAUAGAAUCAAAUUUUAUUGCAGGCACGCUACACAGCUGAAAAAUCAAUUGGCUGCAAACUAAGUUUCUCUUUGGUGUUUAAGAAGCAAACUCUUAGAAAUAGCUCAGUGGACAAGAGCUAUAUCAAAGUUAGCAAAGGCAUCCAUAUAUUGCCAGUUUUGUUUUUGUUCUACACUGUCAUUUGUGUAUUGUGGAAAUAAGGAGUUGUGUUUUCUCUAUGCGUGUUGUAGAUGACCGGAUUCUGGAUUUGCUUUAUUGUGGGGUUACCAAGUGA